This 429-nucleotide ribosomal RNA is filed under the name Acidobacteriota bacterium. RNAcentral's name for it is "Acidobacteria bacterium partial 16S ribosomal RNA". It matches the Rfam family "Bacterial small subunit ribosomal RNA", at positions 355 to 776 of the family's 1533-position model. Lineage: Bacteria; Pseudomonadati; Acidobacteriota. The record is from RNAcentral.
UGGGGAAUUUUGGACAAUGGGGGAAACCCUGAUCCAGCCAUCCCGCGUGUGCGAUGAAGGCCUUCGGGUUGUAAAGCACUUUUGGCAGGAAAGAAACGUCAUGGGUUAAUACCCCGUGAAACUGACGGUACCUGCAGAAUAAGCACCGGCUAACUACGUGCCAGCAGCCGCGGUAAUACGUAGGGUGCAAGCGUUAAUCGGAAUUACUGGGCGUAACGCGUGCGCAGGCGGUUCGGAAAGAAAGAUGUGAAAUCCCAGAGCUCAACUUUGGAACUGCAUUUUUAACUACCGGGCUAGAGUGUGUCAGAGGGAGGUGGAAUUCCGCGUGUAGCGGUGAAAUGCGUAGAUAUGCGGAGGAACACCGAUGGCGAAGGCAGCCACCUGGGAUAACACUGACGCUCAUGAACGAAAGCGUGGGGAGCAAACAGG